RNAcentral lists this ribosomal RNA (427 nucleotides) under uncultured bacterium. Its description in RNAcentral is "partial 16S ribosomal RNA". It matches the Rfam family "Bacterial small subunit ribosomal RNA", at positions 355 to 774 of the family's 1533-position model. The record is from RNAcentral.
UGGGGAAUAUUGCACAAUGGGCGCAAGCCUGAUGCAGCCAUGCCGCGUGUAUGAAGAAGGCCUUCGGGUUGUAAAGUACUUUCAGCGGGGAGGAAGGUGUUGUGGUUAAUAACCACAGCAAUUGACGUUACCCGCAGAAGAAGCACCGGCUAACUCCGUGCCAGCAGCCGCGGUAAUACGGAGGGUGCAAGCGUUAAUCGGAAUUACUGGGCGUAAAGCGCACGCAGGCGGUGUGUCAAGUCGGAUGUGAAAUCCCCGGGCUCAACCUGGGAACUGCAUCCGAAACUGGCAGGCUUGAGUCUUGUAGAGGGGGGUAGAAUUCCAGGUGUAGCGGUGAAAUGCGUAGAGAUCUGGAGGAAUACCGGUGGCGAAGGCGGCCCCCUGGACAAAGACUGACGCUCAGGUGCGAAAGCGUGGGGAGCAAACA